CAGCGAUUACGAAUUUUCCUGUUGCUGCCACCGUUCAAAGAUCUCCCCCCAUCACUAUCUUCAUUUAUAUUUCCAUUGACUCGCGCGAAACAACACGGAAUGCUUGAGCGGGGAACGCGGAAGAAGCGUGAAUCGACUGAUAGAAUCCGGACUCAUUGAACGAUGCGGCGUCGUCAAAGGAUGGCGAUUUAUCGUUUUCGUAUUCAACGGAUUAAGCCGUCGUUCGAGGUCCGGCCACGGGGCAUGCAAAUCCACGGUCCAGGCCACAGCGAAAAGAAUACGAUGCAGCCAGUCGGUUGAAUGUCUCGAAUGAUAAUACGGCUUUCAUUGAGGAAACGCGUGCGCUUGCAGUAGCUUACAAACGCGGCACCGUUUGAAUACCAAAUUAAAUGCGGUAAAUACGGUUCGCGGAAUGGCCAGUGGCCAAUUCAAUGUUUCCCAAUCGUGAAAAUGGGACGAUUCUCAUUAAAUAUAGAGCCUUUUGUGUUA
Long non-coding RNA from Apis mellifera (honey bee), 489 nucleotides. RefSeq lists it as uncharacterized. The transcript is spliced from 2 exons. The record is from RefSeq and is a predicted model, not a curated record. Lineage: Eukaryota; Metazoa; Arthropoda; Insecta; Hymenoptera; Apidae.